RNAcentral lists this small RNA (659 nucleotides) under Arabidopsis thaliana (thale cress). RNAcentral describes it as "ATSL282200". The record is from RNAcentral. Lineage: Eukaryota; Viridiplantae; Streptophyta; Magnoliopsida; Brassicales; Brassicaceae.
GUUCUAAAAGUAACAUGAACAAUAAAAUUUUAUGGUUAUGACUUGUUAGUUUUGGUGGAAUCAACCAACACUAUUUCAACUUCUUUUUUUUUUGGUUUAAAAUAUUAUUUCAACUUGAUUGUCAAUUACAAGGCAUGAUAAUUUUGGAUGUUAGAAAAACAAACUACAAGUUAUUUACAACCAAACUCUUAUUAUAUCUUUCGAUUAUAUUAGGAAUAGGUUAGUGACAAACUGACCGAGGAUUUCGCGAAGCUCAUUUCCAUGGUUGAAUCCGCUUGACCUCAACAGAUUUUUCACACUUUGCAAACUUCUUAUUAGUGAGCAUAUUUUUGAAAAACUUAUGGAGCCCCUAUCUUUAUUCCCUUUGUUUCACCUUAGCUUCAAGUUUUAUGAACCUUCCUCAUUUGAGGUUUUAAGUGAAUGAAAGUUGUUUGACAAAAAAAAGGUCAGUGACAAGCUCUCUAGUUUACAUAAGAGUAAAGCUUGUCUGUAAGUGCCACUUCUAGCUCGAGUUUGUAUUUUCGGAAGGACUAAGAAAUCAUCAUUUUGCUUGCUAUCACUGCAAAAGAUUUUUUAAUCAUUUCCAGUAAUUGUUAGAUUACUUCUAACUUUUUCUUUUUCAAAUUUCUUUUAAUAAUGUUGAUUUGUAUUUUUUUUAA